This 469-nucleotide ribosomal RNA is filed under the name uncultured bacterium. Its description in RNAcentral is "partial 16S ribosomal RNA". It matches the Rfam family "Bacterial small subunit ribosomal RNA", at positions 28 to 507 of the family's 1533-position model. The record is from RNAcentral.
GAUGAACGCUGGCGGCGCGCCUAACACAUGCAAGUCGAACGGUUAAAGCACCUUUUAGGUGUGUAUAAAGUGGCGAACGGCUGAGUAACACGUGGGCAACCUGCCCUCCUCUUGGGGAUAGCCUCGGGAAACCGAGGAUAAUACCCGAUACUUCAAUGUGGCCGCAUGACGACAUUGAGAAAGCUUUUGCGGAGAAGGAUGGGCCCGCGGCCUGUUAGCUUGUUGGUGGGGUAGAGGCCUACCGAGGCAAUGAUGGGUAGCUGGGUUGAGAGACCGACCAGCCAGAUUGGGACUGAGACACGGCCCAGACUCCUACGGGAGGCAGCAGUGGGGAAUCUUGCACAAUGGGCGAAAGCCUGAUGCAGCGACGCCGCGUGCGGGACGAAGGCCUUCGGGUUGUAAACCGCUUUCAGCAGGGACGAGGCGAUAAGUGACGGUACCUGCAGAAGAAGCCCCGGCUAACUACGUG